GGAGUGGGUGGGAUGGAAAAA
RNAcentral lists this microRNA (21 nucleotides) under Solanum lycopersicum (tomato). Its description in RNAcentral is "sly-miR482d-5p". Its record names the gene sly-miR482d-5p. The record is from miRBase by way of RNAcentral. Lineage: Eukaryota; Viridiplantae; Streptophyta; Magnoliopsida; Solanales; Solanaceae.